Non-coding RNA from Schistosoma haematobium, 78 nucleotides. Lineage: Eukaryota; Metazoa; Platyhelminthes; Trematoda; Strigeidida; Schistosomatidae. The record is from Rfam.
AGUUCUUCGUAUCCGUGCUGAGAUUUCGUCAGACACCAACCCAUUAAGGCUGAUCAUACUCCCAAGAUAAGUGAAGUU